Astatotilapia calliptera (eastern happy) is the source of this 1288-nucleotide long non-coding RNA. NCBI's taxonomy places the organism in Eukaryota, Metazoa, Chordata, Actinopteri, Cichliformes, Cichlidae. The record is from Ensembl.
GUGGGUGGGUGGGUGUAAAUUCAUAAUAACAACAGAGAUUUUGUGAUAGCGUUUUGAAUCUCACACCUCUACACAACAGUUUACCCUUGUCUGACAGGUGUGACAGAAUUUCAAAUCUUCAAAAAUCUUGUUUUUCACUUCACGUUUGGUAAGCAAGCAUUCAGGGCUCGGCCCAUCUUGUGACCAAAUCCGUACUCUGCAACCGUGUCCGCGAGGGCCGGGAUGUCUGGACAUCAACCUCAGCUUUCUGAGCUCAAGCUACGUAGUCAUGGUUCAAUGCAUAUGGAAGAAGCGAAACGCUCCUGUGGGAAUGUGAUCAGUAAGGCAGUACCAUCAAUCAAACUAAACAAGAAAGACAGUGCAGCAGCCACAGGUCUAAUUCAGGAUGCAGGCAAGGGGACACUUAAUAUAAUCAGGUUUUGGAAAAAGCAAAAAUGUUUUACCCUUUCUUUCUUUCUUUCUUUCUUUCUUUCUUUCUUUCUUUCUUUCUUUCUUUCUUUCUUUCUUUCUUUCUUUCUUUCUUUCUUUCUGUUUUUUUUCUUACAAGUUCCUAUAAUUAAGACCCACCCAAACUACUUUCUUUGCCGAGCCAGUUCAGUAAAAUAUAAUGUUACGCUGAUUUAAGUGAUACAGUCUACAAUUUGGCUCCCUUCUUAUUUUAUGUUUUUUUCCAGACAAGUUUUCAGCAUUUCGGUUUGAAACACUAACAAUUACCAAGCAAAACAGAGCCAAUCCAACAGUUUCAACUCAAAGUCAUUUUCAGCAAAAUCAAACAUAAAUGUCAGUCAAAGCGGCCGCGCUCCUAACUCCAGAUGGAUGAGUUAAAAAAAAACUCUCAGAGUUGAAACACUCCAUAGAAGCCAGACUGUAAACAUGCUGUAAAGUUGGACAUUUUAAGCAUAUGGGGAAUAGCUCUCUCUUGAAGCCAGCCUAUUGUGACAGCUAGAGGAACUGCAGUUUGUGGCACAUCUGCACUGGCUUCAAUAUUCACCUCCAGAGGUCACGCCUCGAUCAGUUCACUCUGAAACACCCAACUUUAGAGCAGAAAUGACCAUUUUUAGAACCAGGUUUUAAUCUCUGUGGCAUGUUGUCCUCCUGUGAACAUGCUAAAAGUCUUGAGUCUGCCUUCACUUUUUAGUAUUUUGCAAGUAACCUAAGAAAUAGGUGCAAAAGUUUACCGUAACAAGUGCAAACAUACAUGGAAAAAGAGUAUUUAAGGGGAAAACAGAGUUUGUACAGUUCAAACCUUUUUUUUUCAAUGUCAGUCUUCAGAAAUGACUUCCUGUGA